CUGAGGCGUGACGACGAGGCACUACGGUGCUGAAGCAACAAAUGCCCUGCUUCCAGGAAAAGCCUCUAAGCAUCAGGUAACAUCAAAUCGUACCCCAAACCGACACAGGUGGUCAGGUAGAGAAUACCAAGGCGCUUGAGAGAACUCGGGUGAAGGAACUAGGCAAAAUGGUGCCGUAACUUCGGGAGAAGGCACGCUGACAUGUAGGUGAAGUGAUUUACUCAUGGAGCUGAAGUCAGUCGAAGAUACCAGCUGGCUGCAACUGUUUAUUAAAAACACAGCACUGUGCAAACACGAAAGUGGACGUAUACGGUGUGACGCCUGCCCGGUGCCGGAAGGUUAAUUGAUGGGGUCAGCGCAAGCGAAGCUCCUGAUCGAAGCCCCGGUAAACGGCGGCCGUAACUAUAACGGUCCUAAGGUAGCGAAAUUCCUUGUCGGGUAAGUUCCGACCUGCACGAAUGGCGUAAUGAUGGCCAGGCUGUCUCCACCCGAGACUCAGUGAAAUUGAACUCGCUGUGAAGAUGCAGUGUACCCGCGGCAAGACGGAAAGACCCCGUGAACCUUUACUAUAGCUUGACACUGAACAUUGAGCCUUGAUGUGUAGGAUAGGUGGGAGGCUUUGAAGUGUGGACGCCAGUCUGCAUGGAGCCGACCUUGAAAUACCACCCUUUAAUGUUUGAUGUUCUAACGUGGACCCGUGAUCCGGGUUGCGGACAGUGUCUGGUGGGUAGUUUGACUGGGGCGGUCUCCUCCUAAAGAGUAACGGAGGAGCACGAAGGUUGGCUAAUCCUGGUCGGACAUCAGGAGGUUAGUGCAAUGGCAUAAGCCAGCUUGACUGCGAGCGUGACGGCGCGAGCAGGUGCGAAAGCAGGUCAUAGUGAUCCGGUGGUUCUGAAUGGAAGGGCCAUCGCUCAACGGAUAAAAGGUACUCCGGGGAUAACAGGCUGAUACCGCCCAAGAGUUCAUAUCGACGGCGGUGUUUGGCACCUCGAUGUCGGCUCAUCACAUCCUGGGGCUGAAGUAGGUCCCAAGGGUAUGGCUGUUCGCCAUUUAAAGUGGUACGCGAGCUGGGUUUAGAACGUCGUGAGACAGUUCGGUCCCUAUCUGCCGUGGGCGCUGGAGAACUGAGGGGGGCUGCUCCUAGUACGAGAGGACCGGAGUGGACGCAUCACUGGUGUUCGGGUUGUCAUGCCAAUGGCACUGCCCGGUAGCUAAAUGCGGAAGAGAUAAGUGCUGAAAGCAUCUAAGCACGAAACUUGCCCCGAGAUGAGUUCUCCCUGAGACUUUAGGUCUCCUGAAGGAACGUUGAAGACGACGACGUUGAUAGGCCGGGUGUGUAAGCGCAGCGAUGCGUUGAGCUAACCGGUACUAAUGAACCGUGAGGCUUAACCUUAC
This 1395-nucleotide ribosomal RNA is filed under the name Salmonella enterica subsp. enterica serovar Montevideo str. 495297-3. RNAcentral's name for it is "bacterial LSU rRNA". It matches the Rfam family "Bacterial large subunit ribosomal RNA", at positions 1556 to 2925 of the family's 2925-position model. RNAcentral also lists the same sequence under 3 other names. The record is from RNAcentral. Lineage: Bacteria; Pseudomonadati; Pseudomonadota; Gammaproteobacteria; Enterobacterales; Enterobacteriaceae.